Molecule: ribosomal RNA, 497 nt
Filed under: uncultured bacterium
Lineage: Bacteria
Description: partial 16S ribosomal RNA
Rfam family: Bacterial small subunit ribosomal RNA
Source: RNAcentral
GAUGAACGCUGGCGGCGUGCCUAAUACAUGCAAGUCGAGCGAACGGACGAGAAGCUUGCUUUUCUGAUGUUAGCGGCGGACGGGUGAGUAACACGUGGAUAACCUACCUAUAAGACUGGGAUAACUUCGGGAAACCGGAGCUAAUACCGGAUAAUAUUUUGAACCGCAUGGUUCGAAAGUGAAAGACGGUCUUGCUGUCACUUAUAGAUGGAUCCGCGCUGCAUUAGCUAGUUGGUAAGGUAACGGCUUACCAAGGCAACGAUGCAUAGCCGACCUGAGAGGGUGAUCGGCCACACUGGAACUGAGACACGGUCCAGACUCCUACGGGAGGCAGCAGUAGGGAAUCUUCCGCAAUGGGCGAAAGCCUGACGGAGCAACGCCGCGUGAGUGAUGAAGGUCUUCGGAUCGUAAAACCCUGUUAUUAGGGAAGAACAUAUGUGUAAGUAACUGUGCACAUCUUGACGGUACCUAAUCAGAAAGCCACGGCUAACUACGUG